RNAcentral lists this ribosomal RNA (408 nucleotides) under uncultured bacterium. Its description in RNAcentral is "partial 16S ribosomal RNA". It matches the Rfam family "Bacterial small subunit ribosomal RNA", at positions 28 to 526 of the family's 1533-position model. The record is from RNAcentral.
GACGAACGCUGGCGGCGUGCUUAACACAUGCAAGUCGAACGAAGUGGCGAACGGGUGAGUAACGCGUAAUCAACCUGCCCUUCAGAGGGGGACAACAGUUGGAAACGACUGCUAAUACCGCAUACUGACGGCGGGGAUUGCGUCUGAUUAGCUAGUUGGAGGGGUAACGGCCCACCAAGGCGAUGAUCAGUAGACGAUGUGGCAGGAGGAACGGACACAUUGGAACUGAGACACGGCCCAGACUCCUACGGGAGGAAGAAAGGGGGAAUCUUUCGAGAUGGACGAAAGGCUGACGGAGCAACGCCGCGUGAGUGAUGACGGCCUUCGGGUUGUAAAGCUCUGUUAAUCGGGACGCGGUACCGGAAUAGAAAGCCACGGCUAACUACGUGCAAGCCGCCGCGGUAAUAC